CUCAGCGAAAUUGAAUUCUCCGUGAAGAUGCGGAGUACCCGCGGUUAGACGGAAAGACCCCGUGCACCUUUACUAUAGCUUCGCACUGGCAUCAGGCACGCGAUGUGCAGGAUAGGCGGUAGACUUUGAAGCAGGAACGCCAGUUUCUGUGGAGUCUCCCUUGAGAUACCGCCCUUCUCUUGCUUGAUGUCUAACCGCGGUCCGUUAUCCGGAUCCGGGACCCUGCGUGGUGGGUAGUUUGACUGGGGCGGUCGCCUCCUAAAGAG
RNAcentral lists this ribosomal RNA (266 nucleotides) under Pseudo-nitzschia fraudulenta. RNAcentral describes it as "partial Bacterial large subunit ribosomal RNA". It matches the Rfam family "Bacterial large subunit ribosomal RNA", at positions 2032 to 2297 of the family's 2925-position model. Lineage: Eukaryota; Bacillariophyta; Bacillariophyceae; Bacillariales; Bacillariaceae. The record is from RNAcentral.